RNAcentral lists this unclassified non-coding RNA (263 nucleotides) under plant metagenome. RNAcentral describes it as "partial contains small subunit ribosomal RNA, internal transcribed spacer 1, and 5.8S ribosomal RNA". The record is from RNAcentral.
UUUCCGUAGGUGAACCUGCGGAAGGAUCAUUAUUGUAUAACCGCGGUUCGAGGGCAGUCGCUGACCCGAAAGGACGUGCACGCCCGAGUGCCCGCGCACACCUCUAUCUCACCCCUCUGUGCACCACCGCGUGGGUCCCCCUUUGGCUUGUUCGGAGGGGGGCUUACGUUUUCACACAAACAUUGUAUGCAGUGUAGAUUGUAUUUUUUGUUUUUGCGAUCACGCAAUCAAUACAACUUUCAACAACGGAUCUCUUGGCUCUC